This 71-nucleotide small RNA is filed under the name Salmonella enterica. RNAcentral's name for it is "partial RtT sRNA". It matches the Rfam family "RtT RNA", at positions 60 to 130 of the family's 130-position model. From Rfam's summary of the family: This family represents a bacterial cis-regulatory element known as RtT RNA. The exact function of RtT is unknown although it is thought that it may be involved in changing the cellular response in relation to amino acid starvation. The record is from RNAcentral. Lineage: Bacteria; Pseudomonadati; Pseudomonadota; Gammaproteobacteria; Enterobacterales; Enterobacteriaceae. RNAcentral also lists the same sequence under 1 other name.
GAAAGCGUUGCCGCAGGCAACGACCCGAAGGGCGAAGCGCGCAGCGCUGAGUCAUCCUUCCCCCAUCACCA